UGCCAGCAGCCGCGGUAAUACGAAGGGUGCUAGCGUUGUUCGGAAUUAUUGGGCGUAAAGCGCGUGUAGGCGGUUCGUUAAGUCUGAUGUGAAAGCCCGGGGCUCAACCCCGGAAGUGCAUUGGAAACUGGCGAACUUGAGUACGGGAGAGGAAAGUGGAAUUCCGAGUGUAGGGGUGAAAUCCGUAGAUAUUCGGAGGAACACCAGUGGCGAAGGCGGCUUUCUGGACCGAUACUGACACUGAGGUGCGAAAGCGUGGGGAGCAAACAGGAUUAGAUA
Molecule: ribosomal RNA, 279 nt
Filed under: uncultured bacterium
Lineage: Bacteria
Description: partial 16S ribosomal RNA
Rfam family: Bacterial small subunit ribosomal RNA
Source: RNAcentral